Molecule: ribosomal RNA, 472 nt
Filed under: uncultured bacterium
Lineage: Bacteria
Description: bacterial SSU rRNA
Rfam family: Bacterial small subunit ribosomal RNA
Source: RNAcentral
UGGGGAAUUUUGGACAAUGGGCGCAAGCCUGAUCCAGCCAUGCCGCGUGCGGGAAGAAGGCCUUCGGGUUGUAAACCGCUUUUGUCAGGGAAGAAACGCUCUGGGCUAAUACCCUGGGGUAAUGACGGUACCUGAAGAAUAAGCACCGGCUAACUACGUGCCAGCAGCCGCGGUAAUACGUAGGGUGCAAGCGUUAAUCGGAAUUACUGGGCGUAAAGCGUGCGCAGGCGGUUAUGCAAGACAGAUGUGAAAUCCCCGGGCUCAACCUGGGAACUGCAUUUGUGACUGUAUAGCUAGAGUACGGUAGAGGGGGAUGGAAUUCCGCGUGUAGCAGUGAAAUGCGUAGAUAUGCGGAGGAACACCGAUGGCGAAGGCAAUCCCCUGGACCUGUACUGACGCUCAUGCACGAAAGCGUGGGGAGCAAACAGGAUUAGAUACCCUAGUAGUCCCUGAGCGGGCUGGCAAGGCGCAU